This 1165-nucleotide long non-coding RNA is filed under the name Cricetulus griseus (Chinese hamster). RNAcentral's name for it is "lncRNA (ENSCGRG00015038140.1)". Lineage: Eukaryota; Metazoa; Chordata; Mammalia; Rodentia; Cricetidae. The record is from RNAcentral.
GGCGGAGGCCGCUGCCACGGAACCGGGCGGGAGGCGCACAGCCCGCGGGAGCUGGUUUUCCCGGGAGGGCACGUGACGGGGUUGGCAGCACUCGCGCCCAAGCUGGGGGAGGGGGAAGUGGCGAGCAGGAGGCCGGGGGCGGGCGGCUGGCGCGCUGUGUACUUAGGUCGUGUGCUGGGGCUUUUCUCUCCAGGGAGCCGGCCGAGGGGCGGGGGAGGGGCCACCGCUCCGCCUUCUUCUUUUCGCAAUGUUGACGCAAUCUAUAAAUAGUGGAACAAAAGGACCAACUUCCUCGGAGCUUUGCUGAAACUGCACAAAAAAUCGAGCUGGGGGGUUCCCUGGUCCCCGGCGUUGGGGCGGGGAGCGCUGCGCCGAGGGAGGGGGCGGCGCAGACCGGCCUAGGGGACACCUGGCCGAGCGCAGCUGCCACUCCGCUCGAGCCCUGCGCUCCAGUGUCCCCACUGGCUGGAGAGCUCGCCCCGACCGGGGGUCUUCCUCCGCCGCUGACAGACUUAAGGAGACAAAUGCAUUGGAUUAUCCUGAUUCACCAUGUGUGAGAGGCAUCGGAUUUGACAGGAUCUCACAUAGCCAAAACUGGCCUCAAACUCAUGAUAUAGACAAGGCUGAAUGUGAAUUGAUCUUCCUGCCUAUACCACCUGAGUGCUAAGAUUACAGACAGCACCACCACCAUCAAUGUCAGUGUCCAUUUUUCUGCUUCACAUACAACAUUGUAGCACAUACAAUAUAUAUGAUACUAGAAGCACUGUUUUUUUAUUUGAAGUAUAACUAUAUAGAGAAUAUAUAGGUAUAUAAGAAAAGUACAUGCAUGUUAAAUGAAAUAAAAGCUAUAAAUGCUAAGAGUGUGUAAUAUGAAAAUGAAGUAAAAACUAUAAGUAAUUGCUAAGAAUGUGUAAUAUGAAAAUGAAGUAAAGACUAUAAGUAAUUGCUAAGAAUAUAUAAUAUGUAAUAUGAAGUGAUUGAAAAUUGAAAUUACUAAGAUGGAAUUCACUUUCUGGGUAUGCUUCAGUGAUGUAACUUCCUCUAACUAGGGAAGUUACCUGCAUCACAUGGGCCUUCUUAUGAUGCUGAGUCCCAGUUACAGCGCUUUCUAUUACUAGUUGGUGGGGAGGUGGCAGUGGUUUAAAGGUCUUUCUUCCUGUUUAGG